UAAGCGGAGGAAAAGAAACCAACAGGGAUUGCCUCAGUAACGGCGAGUGAAGCGGCAACAGCUCAAAUUUGAAAUCUGGCCCCCCCGGGUCCGAGUUGUAAUUUGCAGAGGAUGCUUUUGGCGCGGUGCCUUCCGAGUUCCCUGGAACGGGACGCCAUAGAGGGUGAGAGCCCCGUACGGUUGGACACCAAGCCUGUGUAAAGCUCCUUCGACGAGUCGAGUAGUUUGGGAAUGCUGCUCAAAAUGGGAGGUAUAUUUCUUCUAAAGCUAAAUACCGGCCAGAGACCGAUAGCGCACAAGUAGAGUGAUCGAAAGAUGAAAAGCACUUUGAAAAGAGGGUUAAACAGCACGUGAAAUUGUUAAAAGGGAAGCGCUUGUGACCAGACUUGCGCCCGGUGAAUCACCCAGCUCUCGCGGCUGGGGCACUUUGCCGGCUCAGGCCAGCAUCAGCUCGCCGUCGGGGACAAAAGCUUCGGGAACGUAGCUCUCUUCGGGGAGUGUUAUAGCCCGCUGCACAAUACCCUUCGGCGGGCUGAGGUACGCGCUCCGCAAGGAUGCUGGCGUAAUGGUCAUCAGCGACCCGUCUUGAAACACGGACCAAGGAGUCAACCUUAUGUGC
Molecule: ribosomal RNA, 619 nt
Filed under: Colletotrichum gloeosporioides
Lineage: Eukaryota; Fungi; Ascomycota; Sordariomycetes; Glomerellales; Glomerellaceae
Description: LSU rRNA
Rfam family: Eukaryotic large subunit ribosomal RNA
Source: RNAcentral